Molecule: ribosomal RNA, 850 nt
Filed under: uncultured Bacillus sp.
Lineage: Bacteria; Bacillati; Bacillota; Bacilli; Caryophanales; Bacillaceae
Description: bacterial SSU rRNA
Rfam family: Bacterial small subunit ribosomal RNA
Source: RNAcentral
UAAUACAUGCAGUCGAGCGGACAGAUGGGAGCUUGCUCCCUGAUGUUAGCGGCGGACGGGUGAGUAACACGUGGGUAACCUGCCUGUAAGACUGGGAUAACUCCGGGAAACCGGGGCUAAUACCGGAUGGUUGUUUGAACCGCAUGGUUCAAACAUAAAAGGUGGCUUCGGCUACCACUUACAGAUGGACCCGCGGCGCAUUAGCUAGUUGGUGAGGUAAUGGCUCACCAAGGCAACGAUGCGUAGCCGACCUGAGAGGGUGAUCGGCCACACUGGGACUGAGACACGGCCCAGACUCCUACGGGAGGCAGCAGUAGGGAAUCUUCCGCAAUGGACGAAAGUCUGACGGAGCAACGCCGCGUGAGUGAUGAAGGUUUUCGGAUCGUAAAGCUCUGUUGUUAGGGAAGAACAAGUACCGUUCGAAUAGGGCGGUACCUUGACGGUACCUAACCAGAAAGCCACGGCUAACUACGUGCCAGCAGCCGCGGUAAUACGUAGGUGGCAAGCGUUGUCCGGAAUUAUUGGGCGUAAAGGGCUCGCAGGCGGUUUCUUAAGUCUGAUGUGAAAGCCCCCGGCUCAACCGGGGAGGGUCAUUGGAAACUGGGGAACUUGAGUGCAGAAGAGGAGAGUGGAAUUCCACGUGUAGCGGUGAAAUGCGUAGAGAUGUGGAGGAACACCAGUGGCGAAGGCGACUCUCUGGUCUGUAACUGACGCUGAGGAGCGAAAGCGUGGGGAGCGAACAGGAUUAGAUACCCUGGUAGUCCACGCCGUAAAACGAUGAGUGCUAAGUGUUAGGGGGUUUCCGCCCCUUAGUGCUGCAGCUAACGCAUUUAAGCACUCCGCCUGGGGA